RNAcentral lists this ribosomal RNA (787 nucleotides) under uncultured fungus. Its description in RNAcentral is "eukaryotic LSU rRNA". The stretch from base 172 to 325 matches the Rfam family "5.8S ribosomal RNA". The record is from RNAcentral. Lineage: Eukaryota; Fungi.
GACCUGCGGAAGGAUCAUUACUGGGUCACUGGGUGCUUCGGCGCCCAAAACCAACCCUGAGCUUCCCGCCCCUCCUUUGGCGCGAAAGGGGCCCCUCGCGACGCGAGUGCGGCCCCUGCCAAAAGCAACGCUGAACAACCUUGCAGCCUGAAGUAAAAAGCAAAUAGUUAAAACUUUCAACAACGGAUCUCUUGGUUCUGGCAACGAUGAAGAACGCAGCGAAAUGCGAUAAGUAAUGUGAAUUGCAGAAUUCAGUGAAUCAUCGAAUCUUUGAACGCACAUUGCGCCCCCUGGUAUUCCGGGGGGCACACCUGUUCGAGCGCCAUUUCACCUCUCAAACCUCGCUUGGUGAUGGGCCCUGCCCGCGGGCGGGCCUGAAACUCGUGGGCGUCGUCGACCGGCUCCGAGCGUAGCAACACCCUCGCUCGGGACCCCGGCCGGAGGCGGCCCAAGACCUCACAAUCUUAACAACACAAGGUUGGCCUCGGAUCANGUGGGGAUACCCGCUGAACUUAAGCAUAUCAAUAAGCGGAGAAAAGAAACCAACAGGAUUGCCUCAGUACGGCGAGUGAAGCGCCACAGCUCAAUUUGAAAUCUGGCUCUUUGGCGCCCGAGUUGUAAUUUGCAGAGGGCGCUUCGAGUGAAGCCCCGCCCAAGUCCCUGGAACNGACGUCAGAGAGGUGAGAACCCCUGUUCGGCCGCCGCGCUCCUCGUGUGAAGCCCUUCAACAAGUCCAGUGUUGGGAUGCAGCUCUAAUGGGUGGUAAUUCCAUCUAAGCUAAAUACCG